CUACGGGGUGCAGCAGUAAGGAAUAUUGCGCAAUGGAGGCAACUCUGACGCAGCCAUGCCGCGUGCAGGAAGAAGGCCUUAUGGGUCGUAAACUGCUUUUAUUUAGGAAUAAACCCCCGAACGUGUUCGGGGCUGAAGGUACUAAACGAAUAAGCACCGGCUAACUCCGUGCCAGCAGCCGCGGUAAUACGGAGGGUGCAAGCGUUAUCCGGAUUUAUUGGGUUUAAAGGGUGCGCAGGCGGGCUAUUAAGUCAGUGGUGAAAUCCCGGGGCUCAACUCCGGAACUGCCAUUGAUACUGAUAGUCUUGAGUUUGGUUGAAGUGUGCGGAAUGUAGCAUGUAGCGGUGAAAUGCAUAGAUAUGCUACAGAACACCAAUCGCGAAGGCAGCUCACUAAGCCAAAACUGACGCUCAUGCACGAAAGCGUGGGGAUCAAACAGGAUUAGAUACCCGCGUAGUC
This 459-nucleotide ribosomal RNA is filed under the name uncultured bacterium. Its description in RNAcentral is "partial 16S ribosomal RNA". It matches the Rfam family "Bacterial small subunit ribosomal RNA", at positions 339 to 795 of the family's 1533-position model. The record is from RNAcentral.